Regulatory RNA element from Nomascus leucogenys (northern white-cheeked gibbon), 80 nucleotides. It matches the Rfam family "ctgf/hcs24 CAESAR". From Rfam's summary of the family: The 3' UTR of human connective tissue growth factor/hypertrophic chondrocyte specific 24 (ctgf/hcs24) mRNA has been shown to repress ctgf gene expression. NCBI's taxonomy places the organism in Eukaryota, Metazoa, Chordata, Mammalia, Primates, Hylobatidae. The record is from Rfam.
ACGGAGACAUGGCAUGAAGCCAGAGAGUGAGAGACAUUAACUCAUUAGACUGGAACUUGAACUGAUUCACAUCUCAUUUU